CCCUUAGACGUUCUGGGCCGCACGCGCGCUACACUGAUGCAUUCAACGAGUCUAAAACCUGGUCUGAUAGGGCUGGGUAAUCUUUUGAAUGUGCAUCGUGAUUGGGAUAGAUGAUUGCAAUUCUUCAUCUUCAACGAGGAAUGCCUAGUAAACGCAAGUCAUCAGCUUGCAUUGAUUACGUCCCUGCCCUUUGUACACACCGCCCGUCGCUCCUACCGAUUGAAUGUUCCGAUGAAUACCAUGGACUGAGAGUAUGAAUGGGUUCGCCUAUUUCUGCUUCUCGGGAAGUGGAGUAAAUCUUAACAUUUAGAGGAAGGAGAAGUCGUAACA
RNAcentral lists this ribosomal RNA (330 nucleotides) under uncultured eukaryote. Its description in RNAcentral is "partial 18S ribosomal RNA". It matches the Rfam family "Eukaryotic small subunit ribosomal RNA", at positions 1470 to 1796 of the family's 1831-position model. The record is from RNAcentral.